AACGCACCUUGCGCUCCUUGGUAUUCCGAGGAGCAUGCCUGUUUGAGUGUCAUUAAAUUCUCAACCUCACCCGUUUUCUGAACACGGGGUCGAGGCUUGGAUGUGGGGGUUUGUGCAGGCUGCCUUCACUGGCGGUCUGCUCCCCUGAAAUGCAUUAGCGAGGUUCAUGCUGAACUUCCGUCUAUUGGUGUGAUAAUUAUCUACGCCGUGGACGAGGAUCAGACUCGCUUCUAACCGUCCGCGAGGACAAUACCUUGACAAUUUGACCUCAAAUCAGGUAGGACUACCCGCUGAACUUAA
This 300-nucleotide unclassified non-coding RNA is filed under the name Arxiella sp. Its description in RNAcentral is "partial contains 5.8S ribosomal RNA, internal transcribed spacer 2, and large subunit ribosomal RNA". The stretch from base 1 to 52 matches the Rfam family "5.8S ribosomal RNA", at positions 103 to 154 of the family's 154-position model. The record is from RNAcentral. Lineage: Eukaryota; Fungi; Ascomycota; Dothideomycetes; Muyocopronales; Muyocopronaceae.